Molecule: long non-coding RNA, 457 nt
Organism: Oncorhynchus keta (chum salmon)
Lineage: Eukaryota; Metazoa; Chordata; Actinopteri; Salmoniformes; Salmonidae
Exons: 3
Source: RefSeq, a predicted model, not a curated record
GGACUGGGACUUGACAGUGACUUCAGGAAGGGAGGUUUUCAGGACGAGCCUCUGACUGUCAGAAGUAAAGGUAAUGAAUGAAUGGACUGGGACUUGACAGUGACUUCAGGAAGGGAGGUUUUCAGGACGAGCCUCUGACUGUCAGAAGUAAAGGUAAUGAAUGAAUGGACUGGGACUUGACAGUGACUUCAGGAAGGGAGGUUUUCAGGACGAGCCUCUGACUGUCAGAAGUAAAGGUAAUGAAUGAAUGGACUGGGACUUGACAGUGACUUCAGGAAGUAUUCACACCCCUUGACUUGGUCCACAUGUUGUGAGUCUGAAUUUAAAAUUGAGGUUUUAUGUCACUGGCCUUACACAACACCCCAUAAUGUCGGUGUAAUUAUGUUAUGAGAUUUUUUGUUUUCUUUUUGAAAUUCAUAAAAUAAAUGAAUUGCUGAAGUGACUUUGGUCAAUAACU